RNAcentral lists this unclassified non-coding RNA (328 nucleotides) under Hevea brasiliensis (rubber tree). The record is from RNAcentral. Lineage: Eukaryota; Viridiplantae; Streptophyta; Magnoliopsida; Malpighiales; Euphorbiaceae.
AAUUUGCUUGUCUUUGAAAAAGAAGUGGCGCAUUGAUAGCCAUGAGUAUAGCAUAAUCUUUGGAAUGGCCUUGUUUCCAUGACAUGCGACAGUGACCAUAAUUGCAGCUGCUGCUGUGAUGUGCAAGUGCUUGCUUGUCAUUAAUAUGAUAAUCAACUGAUUGAACUCCUCUUUGCACCUUAGGGGACCCAAGACCAAAUACAUUUGUACCAAUUAGUCUUUUUUAUGUAUCUCACGUACAGGGCAACAUUUCAUCACCAUACCAUUUCUUUGGUGAUUGACAGUGUUAGAUCUUUGAACUUGGAAUUUGUUCCUGAAUGCUUUGGUC